UACGGAGGGAGCUAGCGUUGUUCGGAUUUACUGGGCGUAAAGCGCGCGUAGGCGGAUUGAUUAGUCAGAGGUGAAAUCCCAGGGCUCAACCCUGGAACUGCCUUUGAUACUGUCAGUCUAGAGACCGAGAGAGGUGAGUGGAAUUUCCAGUGUAGAGGUGAAAUUCGUAGAUAUUGGAAAGAACACCAGUGGCGAAGGCGGCUCACUGGCUCGGUACUGACGCUGAGGUGCGAAAGCGUGGGGAGCAAACAGGAUUAGAAACCCUAGUAGUCC
This 273-nucleotide ribosomal RNA is filed under the name uncultured bacterium. Its description in RNAcentral is "partial 16S ribosomal RNA". It matches the Rfam family "Bacterial small subunit ribosomal RNA", at positions 524 to 796 of the family's 1533-position model. The record is from RNAcentral.